Molecule: long non-coding RNA, 1737 nt
Organism: Amphimedon queenslandica
Lineage: Eukaryota; Metazoa; Porifera; Demospongiae; Haplosclerida; Niphatidae
Exons: 2
Source: RefSeq, a predicted model, not a curated record
UCCUACCCCUAUGAGUAGCAGUAUAUCAUUGAUAGCUCCAGCAUUAGAGGUAGUGGUGUUCUUCAUAAGAAAGAGAGUUCUUAUGAUGCCAUCAAUAGCCUGAGCAUUGCUCUUUGUAACAUUAAGCAGCUCCUGAAGGAGUGUAUCAUUGUGAGCAUCAUUGGAACAUGAAGCAGAGCAAGUAGCAUAAUUAUGACAUUGGAUGAGUUGAGGGAGACAAACAAUCACCACAAGAAGAGACAACAUUCCUUCUCAGUUACUGAGCAUGACCAGUGACGUUGAAAAUAAGCACAAGAAUUCAAGGCGUACACUAGACAUUAGUCAUAUCAGACACCUGUGAGGUUAUUGUAGUUGUGUACAAAUAUGCAAAGAACGUACUCGAGUACAAGCCACUCCUUGAUUAUCAAAACAUACACUACUCAUGCACAAAUUAACUACAUUACAGCAACACUUGUCCAAAAUGACCACAAGAAGAGACAAUAUUCCUUCUCAGUUCACUGAUUUGUUGAUCACUUGCAUAACAGAUCUUUCAUAAACUUUAGAAAGGCAUAACCAAUGACGUUAAGAGUAAUUCAACAAGAAUUUAAGGAGAGGACACUAUUAUCAGAUUCAAACCAUUACCACAUGUACUAAUGAUAAUGAUAAUUAGUUUCUUAUAAUACUAUUAACAUAUAGAGCAUAAGGCUCAAUUGUAUCAAACAAUAAACAAAAAUAAGGCUUGCUCUAGAUCAGCUGCAUAGCCAUAUGGUAACUGUGAGGCUAACUUUAAGAGCAAGUUACAAAGAUUAACAAAGAUACGGCCUAGAUCUAAUUAAUAGCACAACUUCAUUCACAAAUACACUAACUAACAUGCCUCUACUAAUGAACAUACAAGUACAAACUAAUAAGUAAUUACUGUAAUACAUCUGUAGUGAGCUGACUCAUCAUGACAUCACAUCAGAACUCAUAAAUAGUCAUAAACUAUCUUUGUAUAUAUGUUCCAUGCUGUGUUAUUAAUAAUCAGUGUUUGGGUGUCAACACGAGGCAUCGUUAGCUCUCUCUCUCUAGCGCAGCAAUCCUGCCUGCCUUCAUGCUAGCCAUUAACCAGCACUCAUCCAUAACACUCAUUUUUGAAUUUGCUAUACAUCCAAGUACCUUUCUUCUUCAAAAUAAUAAUUUCAAAUUUGCAGUGCAUAAUGACAUCCAAACAAUGCAGUAGUAGAUCUAGAGACGUUUAGCUUUGUUCAUGUUGUUAGGGGGAGUGCACUGAUUUAAGUUCAUUGGUAUGCCCAUAAUUGACCAGGAUGCACCCACUCUGAAUAAUUAUUUGUCAAUAAAAUGGUAACAAGUGCACCCUUAUGCUUGAGUAGCCUGCAUUUAUAUGCACCCACAACUUUCAGAUAUGCUGGAGAUGCUUUUGGCUUUGUUUAAAAUAUUUUCUUAAAAUUAUUGAAAGAGUAAUAUCUACAUAUUAACCACGACUACAAAGCAAAAUAACAAAUCAAGGAAAGGAUAAAAUCUACAUAAGCUAAUAAGUGAUUUAAACAGCAUAAUAAAAUAAGUAUCAUCAAGAAUGAAAAGCGAAGUUAUUUAUUUGAGCGAUCCUUCCACUUGUAGAGAUCAAUAGUGAGUGCCUGGGGUAUUCCCAUCAUCGAGGAAUUAGAGAAGACAUCAACAAACACUUUAACAGAAUAUGGUAUAUUAAAUGUUUUGAUCACUUGAAAUAAGUUAUAGGUGGAUCCACUGAAUUUAUAAACA